Molecule: transfer RNA, 72 nt
Filed under: Bacteroidales bacterium
Lineage: Bacteria; Pseudomonadati; Bacteroidota; Bacteroidia; Bacteroidales
Description: tRNA-Arg
Rfam family: tRNA
About the family: Transfer RNA (tRNA) molecules are approximately 80 nucleotides in length. Their secondary structure includes four short double-helical elements and three loops (D, anti-codon, and T loops). Further hydrogen bonds mediate the characteristic L-shaped molecular structure. tRNAs have two regions of fundamental functional importance: the anti-codon, which is responsible for specific mRNA codon recognition, and the 3' end, to which the tRNAs corresponding amino acid is attached (by aminoacyl-tRNA synthetases). tRNAs cope with the degeneracy of the genetic code in two manners: having more than one tRNA (with a specific anti-codon) for a particular amino acid; and 'wobble' base-pairing, i.e. permitting non-standard base-pairing at the 3rd anti-codon position.
Source: RNAcentral
GGCUGCAUAGCUCAACGGAAGAGCAGCGCAUUCCUAACGCGCAGGCUACGGGUUCGAGUCCCGUUGCGGCCC